RNAcentral lists this ribosomal RNA (492 nucleotides) under uncultured bacterium. RNAcentral describes it as "partial 16S ribosomal RNA". It matches the Rfam family "Bacterial small subunit ribosomal RNA", at positions 29 to 507 of the family's 1533-position model. The record is from RNAcentral.
AGUGAACGCUGGCGGUAGGCCUAACACAUGCAAGUCGAACGGCAGCACAGUAAGAGCUUGCUCUUACGGGUGGCGAGUGGCGGACGGGUGAGGAAUACAUCGGAAUCUACUUUUUCGUGGGGGAUAACGUAGGGAAACUUACGCUAAUACCGCAUACGACCUACCGGUGAAAGCAGGGGAUCUUCGGACCUUGCGCGAUUGAAUGAGCCGAUGUCGGAUUAGCUAGUUGGCGGGGUAAAGGCCCACCAUGGCGACGAUCCGUAGCUGAUCUGAGAGGAUGAUCGGCCACACUGGAACUGAGACACGGUCCAGACUCCUACGGGAGGCAGCAGUGGGGAAUAUUGGACAAUGGGCGCAAGCCUGAUCCAGCCAUACCGCGUGGGUGAAGAAGGCCUUCGGGUUGUAAAGCCCUUUUGUUGGGAAAGAAAAGCAGCAGGUUAAUACGCCGCUGUUCUGACGGUACCCAAAGAAUAAGCACCGGCUAACUACGUG